GAAGCCGGGGGUUAUAGUCGACGUUGGUUGAUUAUUUUUAACGUCUCUAAUUCAAAACCGAACAUGAAAUUUUGAUUUCAUUCGGCUCCUUUUUACGCGGUAGGGAUUGCAAUUUUUUCUCGCAUUUUCGUUUUUUCACUCAAACUCAAGGGAGAAACUUUGCUUCUUAUCUUUUUUUUUUAA
RNAcentral lists this ribosomal RNA (183 nucleotides) under Triticum aestivum (bread wheat). RNAcentral describes it as "partial small subunit ribosomal RNA". Lineage: Eukaryota; Viridiplantae; Streptophyta; Magnoliopsida; Poales; Poaceae. The record is from RNAcentral.